This 473-nucleotide ribosomal RNA is filed under the name uncultured bacterium. RNAcentral describes it as "SSU rRNA". It matches the Rfam family "Bacterial small subunit ribosomal RNA", at positions 26 to 518 of the family's 1533-position model. The record is from RNAcentral.
AGGACGAACGCUGGCGGCGUGCUUAACACAUGCAAGUCGAGCGGAAAGGCCCUUCGGGGUACUCGAGCGGCGAACGGGUGAGUAACACGUGAGUAAUCUGCCCCUAGCUCUGGGAUAGCUCCGGGAAACCGGGAUUAAUACCAGAUACGACCACUUUAGACAUCUGUUGUGGUGGAAAGAAUUUUGGCUAGGGAUGAGCUCGCGGCCUAUCAGCUUGUUGGUGAGGUAACGGCUCACCAAGGCGACGACGGGUAGCCGGCCUGAGAGGGCGACCGGCCACACUGGGACUGAGACACGGCCCAGACUCCUACGGGAGGCAGCAGUGGGGAAUAUUGCGCAAUGGGCGAAAGCCUGACGCAGCGACGCCGCGUGGGGGAUGAAGGCCUUCGGGUUGUAAACCCCUUUCAGCAGGACGAAGCGAAAGUGACGGUACCUGCAGAAGAAGCGCCGGCUAACUACGUGCCAGCAGCCGC